This 353-nucleotide ribosomal RNA is filed under the name Boophis quasiboehmei. RNAcentral describes it as "partial 16S ribosomal RNA". It matches the Rfam family "Bacterial large subunit ribosomal RNA", at positions 2085 to 2597 of the family's 2925-position model. The record is from RNAcentral. Lineage: Eukaryota; Metazoa; Chordata; Amphibia; Anura; Mantellidae.
AAGACCCCAUGGAGCUUUAAACCUGACAGCACCCGCUCAUUCUAUACCCCAUUAUUUGCCCGACCCCUGUCUGCUCAGUUUUAGGUUGGGGUGACCACGGAGUAUAAAAUAACCUCCAUGAAGAAGGGGAUAUUUCCCUUAUUAGAGAACCACACUUCCAAGAACUAAUAAAUUAAUUUUCAAUGACCCGAUACCUGAUAAUCGAUCAACGAACCAAGUUACCCUGGGGAUAACAGCGCAAUCCACCCUGAAAGCCCUUAUUAACAGGUGGGUUUACGACCUCGAUGUUGGAUCAGGGUAUCCCAGUGGUGCAGCAGCUACUGAGGGUUCGUUUGUUCAACGAUUAAAACCCU